CUGAGGAGCGAAAGCGUGGGGAGCGAACAGGAUUAGAUACCCUGGUAGUCCACGCCGUAAACGAUGAGUGCUAAGUGUUAGGGGGUUUCCGCCCCUUAGUGCUGCAGCUAACGCAUUAAGCACUCCGCCUGGGGAGUACGGUCGCAAGACUGAAACUCAAAGGAAUUGACGGGGGCCCGCACAAGCGGUGGAGCAUGUGGUUUAGUUCGAAGCAACGCGAAGAACCUUACCAGGUCUUGACAUCCUCUGACAACCCUAGAGAUAGGGCUUUCCCUUCGGGGACAGAGUGACAGGUGGUGUAUGGUUGUCGUCAGCUCGUGUCGUGAGAUGUUGGGUUAAGUCCCGCAACGAGCGCAACCCUUGAUCUUAGUUGCCAGCAUUUAGUUGGGCACUCUAAGGUGACUGCCGGUGACAAACCGGAGGAAGGUGGGGAUGACGUCAAAUCAUCAUGCCCCUUAUGACCUGGGCUACACACGUGCUACAAUGGACAGAACAAAGGGCUGCGAGACCGCAAGGUUUAGCCAAUCCCAUAAAUCUGUUCUCAGUUCGGAUCGCAGUCUGCAACUCGACUGCGUGAAGCUGGAAUCGCUAGUAAUCGCGGAUCAGCAUGCCGCGGUGAAUACGUUCCCGGGCCUUGUACACACCGCCCA
RNAcentral lists this ribosomal RNA (650 nucleotides) under uncultured bacterium. Its description in RNAcentral is "bacterial SSU rRNA". It matches the Rfam family "Bacterial small subunit ribosomal RNA", at positions 746 to 1396 of the family's 1533-position model. The record is from RNAcentral.